Molecule: RNA transcript, 1783 nt
Organism: Rhineura floridana
Lineage: Eukaryota; Metazoa; Chordata; Lepidosauria; Squamata; Rhineuridae
Gene: EVA1A
Gene name: eva-1 homolog A, regulator of programmed cell death
Exons: 4
Source: RefSeq, a predicted model, not a curated record
UCUUUCAUUCUCCCUCUUUGCUUUCUGCCUCAGACCUACACCCACUGACUCGCACGUUUUUUGUGGUGUGGGGGCAGAAGGUGCAAAGCAGCCACAUUUCAUGCUUGCUGUCUCCUUUCAGGCUGAAUUCCUGCUUGUGGUCUCCUGUGAGGAUUCGUUUACUGCUUGCAGCUCCUGGGAGAGAAAUCAUGAAAGGUUCCACCUUAUUCAAAGUGAAAUUGGGGCUGGAAGUGUGCAACAACCCCAUACAUGCCCUGCUAGCUGGAUUACCAAGAUGUCUGUGUUUUCCACUACUCUCGUAUUCUCUUCCACACCUGGGCUCAGAAAGAAAAUAAACAUCUGGCUCUCUUGAAGUUUCCAAUAAAUCGGUGCAUGAAUCUUGACCAAAUCUGACUAACAACCAUGCAUACACAUUUGCGACCACAGCCCCAAAAUGACAAGGCAUGACAUCGACCACACAUCCUAAUAUUCCAUCUGUGACCCUGAUUCUCCUGAUCAUCAAUUCUGAGGAUGACAUUUCUUUGACUUUUCAGCAAGGAUUUAAUCUGCACUUUAUGACGGAUCCCCAUUCCUAAAGCUUCUUCUACUGAUUUCUCCGUCUGCGUCUUGCUGUGACAUCCAAGAUUUUAACCUCUAAUGACUUAAAGACAUCUUGCCACUUCUUAAUUAGAUCAGCAUGAAGAUUAGAAAUGUGGUUACAAACGGCUUCCAUUGGGUCCAUUAUAGUCGGGUUGCAUCUCUUUUAUUAUCCUUGUUCUUAAUUGCCAUUUUUGGCACUACAUCCUUUUUCGUAUUUACUCCCACCACCUAGGUAACCAGUUUUAAAAAGUUUGUAAGAUACUAGUUCUUCCAUAAUUGAAUUCCCGAGCUCAUAGAGCACCCGCUCCACCACUGAAAUAUGCCUCUGGUUAGUAUUAAUUAUGUAAUGAGUAGAUUUUAAUCAACGGGGGGAGUGGAGCUCCGAUCUUAAGCUCCUGCUCUGUCUUGCACGUGCAUCCCUCCCCUCCCUACACAACUGGUUUAUUGAGUACACAUAGGUAGGUGUUGAAACAAGAAUAUUUUGAUAACCGUAUGGAUUCACCGUCUGUCCCAUAUAAAAGUGACGCACUCUGUCUUACAGAUAUUGACCCAGUCCUUAGGGAUACGUAGUUCCUUAAUUUACUCCAUGAGAAGAUAACAAUGUAACCAUUCAGUCUGGUCAUAAAAAUUCUGAAAUCACAUAAAAAUGGGAUGUAAUAUGUGCAAAUGUAGACUUUUCCACUUUGCAAUCAGGAGUAUUGUAUUUUCUUGAAGUUGAUACUAGCAGAUGUGGAAGCCAAAUGAAAUGGCCCUUAGUCCAAUGGUAGAUCAAUACUGGGACAGCUGUAGGCCAUUUGUAGGGAUGACUAAGCCUUGAUCAACCUGGUUGACUAAUGUGUUUUAACACUAUUGCUAUUUUAACGGAUGACUGUGGUGUCUGCAAACAGAUCAAAGUACAAUGGGUUCUCAGCAGUGAUCUCAGAAGAUCUGAAAGGUUUACUUUCAGGAUCAAAAAAUGUAAGCAUCACACUGCAGUUUGCAGUACCACAGACAGGUGGCACUGUGCACUAUAGAAGGAACACUUCCCCCCCACCUGCACAUCACUUGCACUGGCUGCCACUGGCUGCCUCAGCAAGCAGGCGGCAGUCUGGUGGGGUGGUGGUGGCUGGCCAUGCACUGUGUGGCGGCGGCAUUUGUCCAAGGGAGGUGGCAGUGAGGGCAGUGGCAGCCUGGGCAAAAGGCUGGUCUGUGGCCUUGCUGCACU